Long non-coding RNA from Limulus polyphemus (Atlantic horseshoe crab), 95 nucleotides. RefSeq lists it as uncharacterized. The record is from RefSeq and is a predicted model, not a curated record. Lineage: Eukaryota; Metazoa; Arthropoda; Merostomata; Xiphosura; Limulidae. The transcript has 3 exons.
CUUUCUAUUCUAGCUACAAAGGAACUAGACCUAAAGAAAAAGAUGGAGUGUUUAGAAGACCGUCUGUCGAACAAGGUAAGUAGUUUGGCUUCUUU